This 649-nucleotide ribosomal RNA is filed under the name uncultured bacterium. Its description in RNAcentral is "bacterial SSU rRNA". It matches the Rfam family "Bacterial small subunit ribosomal RNA", at positions 61 to 705 of the family's 1533-position model. The record is from RNAcentral.
GUCGAGCGGUAGAGAGGUGCUUGCACCUCUUGAGAGCGGCGGACGGCUGAGUAAAGCCUAGGAAUCUGCCUGGUAGUGGGGGAUAACGCUCGGAAACGGACGCUAAUACCGCAUACGUCCUACGGGAGAAAGCAGGGGACCUUCGGGCCUUGCGCUAUCAGAUGAGCCUAGGUCGGAUUAGCUAGUUGGUGAGGUAAUGGCUCACCAAGGCGACGAUCCGUAACUGGUCUGAGAGGAUGAUCAGUCACACUGGAACUGAGACACGGUCCAGACUCCUACGGGAGGCAGCAGUGGGGAAUAUUGGACAAUGGGCGAAAGCCUGAUCCAGCCAUGCCGCGUGUGUGAAGAAGGUCUUCGGAUUGUAAAGCACUUUAAGUUGGGAGGAAGGGCAUUAACCUAAUACGUUAGUGUUUUGACGUUACCGACAGAAUAAGCACCGGCUAACUCUGUGCCAGCAGCCGCGGUAAUACAGAGGGUGCAAGCGUUAAUCGGAAUUACUGGGCGUAAAGCGCGCGUAGGUGGUUCGUUAAGUUGGAUGUGAAAUCCCCGGGCUCAACCUGGGAACUGCAUUCAAAACUGUCGAGCUAGAGUAUGGUAGAGGGUGGUGGAAUUUCCUGUGUAGCGGUGAAAUGCGUAGAUAUAGGAAGGA